Molecule: ribosomal RNA, 982 nt
Filed under: Cerodontha dorsalis (grass sheathminer)
Lineage: Eukaryota; Metazoa; Arthropoda; Insecta; Diptera; Agromyzidae
Description: eukaryotic LSU rRNA
Rfam family: Eukaryotic large subunit ribosomal RNA
Source: RNAcentral
UGUUUGGUAUAUAUAAAUUCUAGUAUGAAAAAUUAAUGAAUUAAGUCCUUCUUAAAUGAGGCCAUUUACCCAAAGAGGGUGCCAGGCCCGUAUAACAUUAAUGAUUAUUAGAAUAUAUAUCCAAAGAGUCGUGUUGCUUGAUAGUGCAGCACUAAGUUGGUGGUAAACUCCAUCUAAAACUAAAUAUAUCCAUGAGACCGAUAGCAAACAAGUACCGUGAGGGAAAGUUGAAAAGAACUCUGAAUAGAGAGUUAAAUAGUACGUGAAACUGCUUAAAGUUUAAACCCGAUGAAUCUGAAUAUCCAAUAUAAAGAAUUCAGCAUUAUAUGACAAUAAAUAUAUAUUGUAAUAAUGUGCAUUUUCUUUAUAUAUURCAUGGACAUUGUAAUUUAUUAAUAUUUAUACUUAUUAAUUUAUCAAAAGAUUAUAUGGCAUUUGUUUAAUUUAAUUAAUAUUUAUAUUAAAAUAAAUUAAAAGCUUUUAUAAUUGGAUAAAGUAUUAAUAAAUUUUAUAUAUAAAGCAUUUAUUUCUUUAUGGGAAAUAUAUAAAAAUAUAAUAGAAAAUUUAUUUUCUAUUAUAUUUAUUUAUAUGCAUUUAUAUGAUUUACAAUGCGAAAGAUUCAGAAUACCUUCGGGACCCGUCUUGAAACACGGACCAAGGAGUCUAACAUAUGUGCAAGUUUUUGGGUAAUAUAUAAUAAUACCUAAAAGCAUAAUUAACAUAACUUUUUAUAUAUGGGAUUAAUAUAAAUUUUAUAUAUUUAUAUUCAAUCCUGGGGCGUUCUAUAUAGUUAUAUUUAAUAUAUAUGGUAACAUAUUAUUUUAUAUUUAACUAGAGCGUACCUUGAGCAAAUAUGCUGUGACCCGAAAGAUGGUGAACUAUACUUGAUCAGGUUGAAGUCAGGGGAAACCCUGAUGGAAGACCGAAACAGUUCUGACGUGCAAAUCGAUUGUCAGAAUUGAGUAUAGGGGCGAAAGACCAA